RNAcentral lists this ribosomal RNA (335 nucleotides) under uncultured Planctomycetales bacterium. RNAcentral's name for it is "bacterial SSU rRNA". It matches the Rfam family "Bacterial small subunit ribosomal RNA", at positions 473 to 806 of the family's 1533-position model. The record is from RNAcentral. Lineage: Bacteria; Pseudomonadati; Planctomycetota; Planctomycetia; Planctomycetales.
CAAAGGCCCCAAAGGAAGCCACGGCUAACUCUGUGCCAGCAGCCGCGGUAAUACAGAGGUGGCAAGCGUUGUUCGGUAUUAUUGGGCGUAAAGAGCACGUAGGUGGUUCUGUAAGUCAGAUGUGAAAGCCUCCUGUUCAAAGGAAGAACGGCAUCUGAAACUACAGAUCUUGAGUGUAGGAGGGGAGAGUGGAACUUCUGGUGGAGCGGUGAAAUGCGUAGAUAUCAGAAGGAACGUCGGCGGCGAAAGCGACUCUCUGGCCUAUUACUGACACUGAGUGUGCGAAAGUUAGGGGAGCAAACGGGAUUAGAUACCCCGGUAGUCCUAACUGUAAA